CGGUUCCGCCAUUUGAAAAAAAACGUUCGUAACUGCUCAGCUGAACCCGAAGCUUGAUGAAGAAGGCCGUCAAUAUUUCAACAAAAACUAACAGAAUAUGGAUCAGAUUCGGACAACGACUUCUUAAGACAUUCACACAACAGGCUAAACAAUUCAAAGAGGGAUCUCUGGAUGAUCGAGCAGCAAGUCCAGCAUUAUGUGGGAAAGAUACUACAGGUGUACACAGAAAAGGCCAUGUUCUUGUACAAGACACGGUUGGAGUUCAUAAAAGAUUAAGCUGCCUCGUGCUAUACAGACUUGGAUAAAAACAAGCUGUCCAAUGAAUGGUGACUACUCAAGAGGAGCCAGAAAGUCAACUAAAGCCAGGGUAUUUUGGGAGUUGAUAUGGCCGGGGAAGGGGGGAGGGGGGGGGGUUUCCAGGGCCCCCCCCCCCUUCCUUGAGAUCUUGACCGCACAAUCGCGUCUAACAUUGGCACAUGGGUUGUCUAGGGCAUAAUUUACAAAAUUAAAUUGUAAAUUAUUUCACGCAAAUUGUUAGUAAGUGAUAAUACUAAUUUAUGCGUAAUUAUAAUACAAAAUCAUACUUUUUCCUCUAUUGCAUUGACUUUGUACACAAAAUCACGUUUUUGAGCAAUUUUUGGUAUGACAUGUACUUACAUAAUGUCACGUUAUUACAGAACCACGUACUGGGUGACACAAGAUUGGUCUCAAAAGAUGCACAAGACUAGAAAGAGGCAUGUUUUAAAAAAAUUGUGCGACAGCAUGGUCGCAAAAUUUUUGGAAGGGGGGGGGGUCAAAUUGGUCCAAUUUAACUAAGGGUUAAUAACUGGGAGGCUGUUAGCUGCCUUUUUACUUUCAAGUCUUGCACAUCUUUUGAGACCAAAUUUGUGAUGCCUGGGUACGCUGUUCCGAAAUUUCGCAACAUUUUUAUGUAUUAAUCCAACACAAAUACUGUUUCUUGCUAAAAAUUCACAAUUAGUAUACCAGUAAUAUACAUUUAUCAAGUCAAAUUAUUUAAUUACAUUUAUAAUCAUAAAAGCUUUGAUAAAGUAUAAAAAAAAACAAAGAGUUGUAUGUAGGCCUGGGACUUUCGGGUUUUUUCUCUUCGGGUACCCGUGGUAAUUUUCGGGUGGGUACCUGAAAAUCAUGUCACUUGAAAUAUGACUGGUGGAAACACCCCAUAGGUGACGUCAUCAAGCCAAUGCGAUGCAAGCCAAUUUAUGAAUGAAAAUAUAGUAAGCAUGCGCAUUGCAAGCCUCCCGUGCCCCACGCAGUAUUCCAUCUAAACAAGUUUCAAUACUCUGUCACCUCGUACCAAAAUCGACCUAGAAUUCCACUUUCCUAUAUAUCAUAUGAAUUAUAAAAGGUUUUCUCACCGAUACUGCACAGGUAAGCAAAUUUUUAUUCUUGCUUUUCCGUCAAAAUCUUACGAAGUAGCAUCGAUAUUACAUCGUGUUCGUGAGUUUGUAUCGCUACGUGAACAAAGUCAAUUGAUUUCCGGGUUUCGGAGCGUCAAAUGCGCCAGCCAAUCACGAUCGUGUUCCCAUUUUCGGUUUAUGAUGAACUAAAAAUGGUAACAAGAACGUGAUUGGCUGGUGCUUCGUAGGUCGAUUUUGGUAUGAGGUGACAGAGUAUUGCAGACUUGUUUUGACGUAAUACUGCGUGGGGCUGAGGCUUGCAAUGCGCAUGCUUACUAUAUUUUCAUUCAUAAAUUGGUUUGCGUCGCAGUGGCUGGAUGACGUCACUGCGCUGCAAAAGAAACAUGGCGAUGAUUGAACGAUCUCGGUCACAUCAUCAUCACUUGAAAACUUGUAUAUUUAUGGAUAUUUAGAGGGUAAUUGGUGAAAUUCAAAAUGAGGCUUGUGUACUUUUGUAAUGAGUUACAAUCAUGUCUUACACUACGCAAUACAAAUCAAAUACAUGUACAUUAUACUGGUGAGCAAUUUUCGGGUAUCGGGUAUUGAUUUUUCUACUCGGGUACCCGGGUUUUAGUCCCAGCCCUAGUUGUAUGAAAAUUUUCAAAAAUAAUGAAAGGUAAAAGAAAACAAGAUUACAAUGUCCAUUGCAAGGGGGCUAGUCUAGCUAUUCAGGAUAAUUGGGAUUUUAUUCAGUUUUUAAUUGACAUAACAUUAUGACAAGAUCCCUCCAGUUAGUGUAUAAACAGCACAUGGCCAUGAUUGAAAUUCAUAUAACAUUAAAGUAUGCAAACCAGGCAGCUACAUGUACAUGUAGGACUCACUGCUUGUCAAUUCUAUUGUCUGCCAGGGUCAAGUGACAUACAGUGCACAUGUAUAACAUGUGUGAAAGUACAUAAGAAAAUCAGCUUUUUAUUUUUGUACUGUAACAUUGGGUGAACUGGUGAUCACUUUGGAUAUGAUGCUCUUCAUAUUGGUUUAUUUUAUGUAUAUGAAUUUUUGGAUAAUCAUUAAGAAUUAAAGCCAUUUACUUAAUAUAUGGAAGCAUCAAAGAACAGAAUUAUGUCAUGUACAGCUAAUUCAUUUUGCGUGAUAUUACAAUUGUAAUUGUUUACUUGAGCAAGUAAUUUGAAUUGCUGCAUGACCUAAACAAUGACAUGUUCCAAUUCGAAUAGUAACAUGACCUAAAGAAGAGUUACUCCACCUCGAUUGAGAGUGCUUAUGUUAAAUAAUUGAUGUUGCUACUUCAAAUAAUUGAGGUCAAUCAAAUUGGUCAUAAUUAUUCAAGUCAAUUUUGAGCUAUAUGUCAUAAUUAAUUAGGUCAUAUACUAAUUGAAAUUACUAAAUGACUCGAGUAGGUAUGAAUUCACAUUGCCACAUGACCUUAAUUAUUUUAUGUAGCAACAUCAAGUAUUGAACGUCAUUUAGUUAUCAAUUAUGACAUGUAGCAAAUCAAAUUACAUGCCGCAAUUUCGUGUUUAUGAUGGGCUCAUGCUUACAUUCAUAUAUAACCCUUCAAUACGUAGUUGGAGCAAUUCUUAGACAAGAAGACUGUGUAAAAUGAUAUGCCUAUUCAAUGUCAAAAAGGUUAAUGUCUCAAUAGAUUUGAUCUACGUUUUGGCAAAGUAAUCUUAUGUAAAUAUUUUUUCUAACCUAUGGUGAACGUUCUAAAUCAUGUGAAAUUCAUUCAAAAAUAUCUUUCAGUAUUUAUGGACUUGAGUGAAUUCUGAGCAAAAUGAAGUGAUUAUGAUUACGUUCAUGUACUUUAAGUUUAUACUGGUGAUCAACACAUCAUAAUUUCAUCCCUUACUGUAUGUGCACCAUGCAUUAUCUGUACAUGCAGAAGUGGUUAUCCAUUGUUUCAUAACAUGGUUGAGUAAAGGAUGUUCUGCUUUUAGUAUUAAGCCAAUCGGGUGUUGACAAGAAGGGGAAAAUGCAAUUGCUCAGCUAUUACAGUUUUUUUUGCAACCAUAAUACUGGUUAAGCCUUGGUUACAUUCGCCGGCUCGUGGCCUUACGUCGAGUCAAAAUUAACAGUCUUAAUCAUCCUUGUACCAGCUACUACCAGCUACACGUGGGUGGUUUGUACAGGAAUACCUAAAACUGCUGAUUUUGUCUCGCCGUAAGGCAACCGGUCAAGGAAUGUGACCAAGGUAUUAAUAAUAAUCGCUUAUUGUUGUGUUAGAGGGAAGGAUUCUGGGUCGAAUCUAGCUUUCUUUAUGUGAUCUCAAAAUGGCAGCAAUGUAUGAAUAGUGAAAGUAGUUCAUGUGGCUUCUCAAUGUUCAUGGAUAUAAAUCUUUGUACAUGUCUUAUCCUAAAGAUGAAAUGUUACUGCAUUAUUCUAGCAGUCAUUUAUGAUAUCAAAGAUGUUCUAUACUGUGCAUAGUACAGCUCAUACAUAAUAAAGGUAUGUGAAUAUGCUUUUAA
Molecule: long non-coding RNA, 3841 nt
Organism: Lytechinus pictus (painted urchin)
Lineage: Eukaryota; Metazoa; Echinodermata; Echinoidea; Temnopleuroida; Toxopneustidae
Exons: 3
Source: RefSeq, a predicted model, not a curated record